This 468-nucleotide ribosomal RNA is filed under the name uncultured bacterium. RNAcentral describes it as "partial 16S ribosomal RNA". It matches the Rfam family "Bacterial small subunit ribosomal RNA", at positions 28 to 507 of the family's 1533-position model. The record is from RNAcentral.
GACGAACGCUGGCGGCGUGCUUAACACAUGCAAGUCGAACGGAAAGGCCCUGCUUUUGUGGGGUGCUCGAGUGGCGAACGGGUGAGUAACACGUGAGUAACCUGCCCUUGACUUUGGGAUAACUUCAGGAAACUGGGGCUAAUACCGGAUAGGAGCUCCUGCUGCAUGGUGGGGGUUGGAAAGUUUCGGCGGUUGGGGAUGGACUCGCGGCUUAUCAGCUUGUUGGUGGGGUAGUGGCUUACCAAGGCUUUGACGGGCAGCCGGCCUGAGAGGGUGACCGGCCACAUUGGGACUGAGAUACGGCCCAGACUCCUACGGGAGGCAGCAGUGGGGAAUAUUGCACAAUGGGCGGAAGCCUGAAGCAGCAACGCCGCGUGCGGGAUGACGGCCUUCGGGUUGUAACCCGCUUUCGCCUGUGACGAAGCGUGAGUGGCGGUAAUGGGUAAAGAAGCACCGGCUAACUACGUG